UAGGGAAUCUUCCGCAAUGGGCGAAAGCCUGACGGAGCAACGCCGCGCGAGUGAUGAAGGUCUUCGGAUCGUAAAACUCUGUUACUAGGGAAGAACAAAUGUGUAAGUAACUAUGCACGUCUUGACGGUACCUAAUCAGAAAGCCACGGCUAACUACGUGCCAGCAGCCGCGGUAAUACGUAGGUGGCAAGCGUUAUCCGGAAUUAUUGGGCGUAAAGCGCGCGUAGGCGGUUUUUUAAGUCUGAUGUGAAAGCCCACGGCUCAACCGUGGGGGGUCAUUGGAAACUGGAAAACUUGAGUGCAGAAGAGGAAAGUGGAAUUCCAUGUGUAGCGGUGAAAUGCACAGAGAUAUGGAGGAACACCAGUGGCGAAGGCGACUUUCUGGUCUGUAACUGACGCUGAUGUGCGAAAGCGUGGGGAUCAAACAGG
RNAcentral lists this ribosomal RNA (429 nucleotides) under Actinomycetes bacterium. RNAcentral describes it as "Actinobacteria bacterium partial 16S ribosomal RNA". It matches the Rfam family "Bacterial small subunit ribosomal RNA", at positions 355 to 776 of the family's 1533-position model. Lineage: Bacteria; Bacillati; Actinomycetota; Actinomycetes. The record is from RNAcentral.